Ailuropoda melanoleuca (giant panda) is the source of this 5300-nucleotide RNA transcript. It is a transcript of the gene named translation initiation factor IF-2-like, with no coding region annotated. The record is from RefSeq and is a predicted model, not a curated record. Lineage: Eukaryota; Metazoa; Chordata; Mammalia; Carnivora; Ursidae. The transcript is spliced from 5 exons.
GGCCGCCCUCACAAGCAACACCCCUCAUCCAGAGCCUCCCCGGCCGGUCCUGAAGCGGCCCAGGCCCGGGGGGAAUGACCCUGCGCCCUGGCGCGCGCCGAGGCCGAGCGGGGACGCGGGACGCUGGCCUGGGCGACGCCGCCGGGGGCCGCCAGGUGGCAGGCGCGCUCCGUGACCGCGCUCCCGGCCUCCCCGCAGCCCGUCGUCCCAGCCCGCGGGGUCGGUCCGGUCGGGGCGGGUGGGCGCGCCAGCCGGUCGCAGCCGUGCCGCCGAGGAAACCCACGGACGCCGAGCCUCCCGGAGCAGCCGCCGGCGGUCCCACUGCGCCCGCAGCGGCGCACAAAGGUGGCGUUUUUUCCUACUCUACGGAUGAGGAAAACGGGGCUCAGAGAGUUAGAUACCCGUAUACACUCACACACAUGGACGUGCCCACCAUACAUCCUACCGUGACUGCCCGUCAUACUAGGGGAUCAGCAACCAUAUGUGGACUGAAUAAAUGAGGCACCGAGUGAAUGAAUAAGCAAGUACGUGAAAAUGCUUCCAUGUGCCGAGAGGCAGACUGCGAAGAGGAGGUUACGGCCUUCACCAAGCCUGCUUACUGAGGGGAGGGACAGACAGGCCUCUGUGCAUGAGGCGCGAUGCUGUGGACACGGCGGAGCAGGCAGAGGACGGCAGGCUUCGCGGAAAACCCGUGAGGGGAACACGUGGUGCGAUAGUAGCUGGCGUGCAGGGCGGGACCCGCCUUCUCAGGGAGACCGCACCCUCCGCCGGAAAGGAGACGGUGCGUGCCCGUCCACGUGCGCCGCCUCCAGCCCGGACCGCCUUGGGGCCGAGUUUUGUGCCGAGUUUUGUGCCGGCCUCCCAAGCUUCGAGCCGCGUGGGUGCGUGUGCGUGUGCUGUAUCCAAAUGUUCUCUAGGACAUCUGAAAGGCUCCUUGGCCUGUAUGGUCCAAGGCAAACUUGGGGUCCUUUCUCCUCCCCCACAGCCAGGCUUAGUCCCUGGUGCUCCCCCUCUCCCCAAGAGGCACCACCGGGCGUCCAGCUUUGCAACUCAGGAAGCUAGGGGGCCUCAGACACCUCUCUCUGCAGCCUCUGUGGCCAGACUAACCCCCGUUUCAUCCUGUUGCCUUGAUAGCUCUGGACUCUGUCCAGUUCUUCACCUCUUCACUGCCCCUUCCUAAUCCUAACCACCGGCACUCUUCCGCUGGACCACAACAGCCUCUUACGUGGUCUCUCCACAUCUCUUCUCACUUGCCUCCCUCCAAGCCUCAGACAUGGGGACACCAGUCUCCUAGAGAGAGUAGGGCCUGCUUAGGGUCACAGUAGGGCUGGAGUUCCCAAGGCAGGAAGGCUAACCCGCAUGCAGGCUGGAGGUUAGACACAGAGCUCAUCCAGGCCUCCUUGGGAAUGGAGAGGAGGCUCUGAAAUUUGCAGUAUCGAGUUUCAGAAAACACGGGGUCAGGGUCAGCAGAGCAGCUGGUAGUGGGGAAGGCCAGGCCCAGCUAAUUUCCUGUCAGAAUGGCCCAGAGGCCCCAGCCCCUCUCUGGGCUGGCCACAGGGGAGGAGAUGCCGGGAAUGGCUCACAUUCCUCUGGCUGGGGCUGCACUGAACCUCCAACCUCCGGGGACCUGCGGGGAGUGAGGAAGUGGAUCUCUGAGGCCAGAAUUGGGGGCUCUCUGCAGGGACCAGGCAUCUGGUGUCCAACCCUUCAGCUGGAAUGGGGCCAGAGACCAGAGAGCAGACACAAAAAGAGCGUCACAGCUGCUGAAGCUUUAGGGUAAAUGAGCCCAGCCUCACAUUCAGAUGAGGAAACAGGCUCAGACAGGACCAGAGCUCACCAGGAUCACAUGAGCUUCCCUGUUCUAAGCCCUUAACUCUGUUUCUUCUGGCCGGGCAUGCAUUUCCUGGAAGGCCUAGCUUUGCUGAGUUGUGUGACACCGGGGGACGAGCUGGGCUAGGACUCUGCUCUUCUUGGCCAGGAGGCAGGAGCCCUCGCUUCCAGCCAGGGAUAUAUGCUUCUCAGGGAGCCCUCAGCUGCAGAGAGGAGAGUGGCUACUCGAUUUCUCUCCAUCAAGUCACACGGUGUGUCUGUGACUUGGGCAGGGGGCCGCCUGCCUGACGCCGUGGGACACAAGCCCUCCCAGAGCCUGGAAGUGCUGCCCACCCCCUCUCUCCAGCAGGGCCCCCCGCAAGUGUGCGGCCUGCCUGUGGAGCCAGGGCCCGGGCUUCUGUCUGCCCGGCUGUCCUUCCUCCACUGGACUCAGAGGCUGUGGCCCUUUUCAGGUCUCUCAGGCACCAACCUGACAGUCCUGUCCCUCUCCCCUCUCCCCACUGCCCCUGGCAGGUAGGCCCCCCUACAGACGCCGCCUCAGGACCGUCUCUCCAGCCCCGUGGCCUGCUUUCUCUGAUCUGAACAAGCACAACGGCCCCCAGCGGCCCCCACCCCCACUUCACAGUCGCCCUGUGCAUCUUCGCCAGGGGAGCUUUCUGAACACGUCACGUCCUGGCUAACUGCCUUUCCGUGCCCUCCUCCCCUUGCCCUUUGCCCAGCCAGCUCCUUCUUGUCCUGAGAAGCCUCAGUGGCAUGUACCCAGGGGUCAACCUGAAAUAAAGAGCCACGACAAGAGGCAAACGAGUGUGUAUUUGGGAUCCAAGAACUGCAGACUCUGGUGUAACCAGUUCCUGCCUUCAGGUGAGAGCCAGGGGUCUCACGGGAGAGGAAGGGGGGUGACUGCGUGACUUGGUGCCAACGGACUGCGCUGCUGUGGGUACGCACGGACUGACUCUUGGGUUACCCAACGGCACUCUUCCUGCUACGCUUCAGUCAACGGCUCUGUCUCCCGAAGGUCGGCAGCCAGCAGUGUUCCGGCCAGGAGGCUGCUGUCCUGUUGGCUCCGCGGACCGCUGCGGCCCCCACUGCUGUUGUGCCCGGUUCAAACACGGCGGGCAAGGCGAUUUCUCUGCAGGGGCCUCCCCGCGACGCUGUGUUAAAAUGACUGCAGUCACUCAGUUUUUCCCGCUGGGAGGUCUUCUCUGACGCCCGGGGCUGGGUUCAGGGUCCCCACCUGGCCCCAGGUCUGAUUGCGCUGGCUUCCACAGCUGGCAGGUGCGGAGGGCGGCUCGUUUCACUCGGGGUCCGAAGCAGUCGGAACGGGCACCAGCACAGAGCAGGUACCAAUAAAGCUCGGCUGACUGAGGGGAAAGUGAGCGAAGGUGCAGAAAGAAGGACCCUCUGUGGCUUUGGGUGACUGCCGCAUUCAUGGUAGGCUCCGUCCCGCAGCGGGAGCUUUGGGAGGAACACGUGCCCCGUCAGGCUUGCCCUGGCACCUCGCGUACUGAAGCCGCCGCCUCCCGCUGGUGAGGCCGCAAGUGAUGGGGUCACAGCAGGGACCCCCAGGCUUCCCUGCUAAACCCAGCUGCCCCUAAGAAAUGAGGAUGUUGAGAGAGGUCGCCAGAAACAGGUGGACGGCAGGCGACAGACGGGCCUGUGUCCGACAGCGUCUGCAUGCAGAGCGGCUGUGUCAGCAGGGUGGGCCCGUGUGCAAGCGUCCAUGUGUGGACAGGCGGGCCCUCGUCUGUUGUCUGUGCGUCAGGACUGUGUUUGCACCUAUGUGUGUGAGCACGCCCCCCCAUCAGGGCCUGGCAGUAACCCCCCCGCCGGCACAGCCCCCCAAGCCCCCACCUCCCGUGGCACUCGGCCCUCUGCCUCCCUCUCGCCUCUCCCCAGGCUACCCCGAGUCCGACGUCCCUGUCCUGGGCUCCUGUGCCCGCACACCCUUCUGUCGCGGCGGGUCGGUUCUGUCAGGCUGUAUUCGUUUUCUGUGGCUGUUGUGACGCGUGACUACAAACUCAGGGGCUUCAAACUACAGACCAAUUGCUCUCCAGGCUCCGACCUCGUCUGUGGGAUCUGUGCUGCUGCCUCCGCAGGAAAAUGGUGAAGAAAACGGAGAUAAGCCCGCACGCGAAGCACCGCUGCCCCUCCAGUGGCAAAACCAAGAUGAAGGGACGAGCCGUGGGGCCCUGGCAUCGGGGCUCCUGCGUGAGAACUGGAAGCGGAUGGUGCCCCGGCCACAGCACCACUUCCGCGUCACGGUGACGUCGGCCGUCCGAGGACUGAGGAGUCGAGAGACCAGUAGAAGCUCCGGCAUUUGAAACGUCGCUAGCCUGUGGUCAGUGGGAUAGUUUGUGUAACGGAAUAAACCCCAGAUCUGUUAUCGUCCCGUUCUGAAGGUCUGAAGUCCACGUGGGUCUCGCCGGGCCAGCCUCCAGGAGUUGGCGGGGCUGCGUUCCUUCCGGAGGCUUGAGGGGAGGGUGUUUUCUUGCCUUUCCCAGCUUCCAGAGGCUGCCCACAUUCCCUGGCCCCUUCCAUCUUCAAAGCCUGAGUGACUGGCCACGUCUCUCGCGUGGUGUCUCUGCCACUCGUUUCCGCCUCCUCCCUCCACUCGUAAGGACCCUUGUGAUGACACUGGGCGCGUCAGGAUGAUCUCUUGAGGUCCGCUGAUCACCUGCAGCCUUAAUUCUCCUUUGCCGCGUCGGUAGUAUGUUCACAGAUCCUGGGAAUGUGGCCGUGCACGUCUCGGGGGUGUGGGCGUCACUCCGCUCAGCACAGAUGGUCUGUCUCUCUGAGCUCUCCCUCCCCCGGAGACCCCUUGGCAGCGAGAGUGUCCAGCCUGUCCUAGGUCUUUAUUACAUACCUGAAUAAUUCUGAUCCAGUCAAUGAUGUGGUGAGAAUUCGUUUGUGCUGGCUACUUUCAAACAUACCAUCCCGACUUUUCUUCCCAUUUUAUAGGUGAGGAAAAUAAGGCUCCGAGGAGUUAGGCGGCAAAAGCUAGUAUGUGACAGCGCCGGGAGCGUCAGUAUACACCGCCGUCAGGUGGAAAACGCAGAGGGUCUAGAGCUCCAGUGGGGAGAAAGCCCUAGACCUUGGGCGGAGGCCAUGAAAAUACACCUCAGAUUUCAGACCGGCCCGGUGGCUGCGCUCUCCUAGCCUCGCGGUUUGCGCUGAGCCCACGGGCGGCUCUCAGCCAAUGACUAAGAUGGGGUCCUUCUUGGGAGAUACAAGGUUUCUCUGACAGGCAGUUUUGGCACAAGGGCUCCCCGUUGGCCUUGCUCCUUUUAGACCUGACUGCAGCCUCACUCUUCCCCUCCACCUCCCGUCCUCUGUCUCUUGUUCACAGGGGUCAGACCUGCAUCACUGCCUGCCGCGCCCUCCCCCUCCCCCCGCCCGCCCUAUGCCCUCACACGUGUCCCCCGUAAGUCUCCUGCACACAGAGAGUCCUGUCUUGGUGGAAGGACCAGAAC